CAUAACUGAAUUCAUUACUCAUUUAUCAUAUAUUGAAUGCAUAUCUUUUUUAUAUGCAGGAAGCAUUCCGUUCAUGGAGGGGUCACAUUAAAUGGAAUGCAAGCAGAUUGAAAGUGUUACGACAAAUACUGAUGAUAUUCUUUCGAGUGUACCUGAAAGAAGUUCUCACACUCUGUAGAGUACUUCCAAGUCUUUCCCCAGAAGUGAUAGAAAGAUCCGAAAACUGAAAUUAACAAUCAACUCCUUGGAAUGCAAAAUAUAUGGUACCUAUAUCGAUUAUUUGUUCAUUUAGAUUUCUGAUAAAGAUUGUACAAAUUCAACAAAUUCUUUUGCCUCAAAAAAAUUUAUUGCAUGGAAAUGAGAACUUUGAUAUAUAAUAUUCAAUAUGUACUUUUGUAUCCUUCAUUCAAAGCUGUAUUAUUUGUAUACAGGUGUUUUCAAAGGUGAGAAUUUCGACACAAUUAUUCUCACCAGUUGUACAUGUCAAAAAAACCUCACUUUUAAAUAUACCCUGAAAAAUCUUCAAUUCUGUCAUAUUUUUUUAUAAAUUUCGAAUAAAAAUAUAGCAAAUCUAA
This is a long non-coding RNA of Coccinella septempunctata (seven-spotted ladybird), 575 nucleotides long. RefSeq lists it as uncharacterized. The record is from RefSeq and is a predicted model, not a curated record. The transcript is spliced from 2 exons. NCBI's taxonomy places the organism in Eukaryota, Metazoa, Arthropoda, Insecta, Coleoptera, Coccinellidae.